GAUCAGCCAAGUUGACUCAACCCUGGCGAUCGUAGAGUGACAGAUGGUGCUGCUGGAUCACCACCAUGUCUUAUUUUAGAUCCUUGAGAGAAUGGAACUCCGGAAGAUUCAAGGACCCGAGGAGAAGAGAUCAGGUGCAAAGGAAGAGUCACUACAGAUGGGAGUAAAGGGUCGGUGUCAGAAAUGGAAACUCCUGAGCUGUGGGAGCCUGGUCUUGGCUAAAGGAGACUGUCAGCCAGUAGCUAGGGAAGGAAUAGAGCACUUGUGACUAGAAGAAAUUAUGGGCCAAUUUCCUGGCACCCAAGACAGAGCUUCCUCAGGAGAUAGCUAACAGAUGAAGUCCAGGCAUGCCAAUGUCGAAAGGAAAGGGCACCCAGCCCAGGAAGGCAGAAUAAUGAAUAUUCACCAACAAGUAUCUGAUCAACAAAUGUCUGUGCCAAGUUGCACCCCUCGUUGUAGUCUGAGGUACUCUAGGAAGGUACAAUACCUACGCUCGCUGGCGACCAUCCUUUGGAAGGCACCGAGGGGCCAACUGCACGGCCACGAGGUGUUUUCCUGUCUCCAUCUCCUGCAGCAGCAAAGGACCCCAGGGCAGAAGACAUGGGGAUGGUGACACUGGCACCUCUGGCUGACAUGUUGAAUACCCCACAGCUCAAUCCUGCAGCAGGCUCCCUUGUGAACCCCCUAGCUGCUCCUCUCAACCCACUGCUAUCUGGCCAA
RNAcentral lists this long non-coding RNA (720 nucleotides) under Rattus norvegicus (Norway rat). RNAcentral describes it as "long non-coding RNA NONRATT026046". The record is from RNAcentral. Lineage: Eukaryota; Metazoa; Chordata; Mammalia; Rodentia; Muridae.